UGGAGAUCCUUGUUUGGUGAAGCUUUCCUCUGUGAACUUGGAAUCUUCUGGUACAGAGGACUGACUGUUACAGAGGUUGCCAGGACAGGCUCUAUAGGUGGAAUAACCUGAACGACAGACAUUCUUAUAAGAUGAAAGCGUUCCUCUUAUAGAUCCAGGACCGGACAGGCUGUCUGCUCCACACAGUAACAAAGACUGAAGCCAUAUUGGCAUAGUGCCUGUUACAACACUAAAUGCUUCCCUGUGGCUUUCUACUCCCAGGGAGAAAGAGCAAGGAAAUCAGCAGGGAAACCAGUGGAAGUCAUGGUUUGACAACAUCAAAGAACAGCUUGGACCCUAUCCUUAUAGAGAGGAAAAAGGUUGCCAGGAUCCCAUGAGUUGGCUGACUAAUAAGUGAAAUUCUGCCAAUGCUCCGAUUCAGGAUGGCUUGGGGUGACCCAGUGACUGCUGGCCAUCGCUGGUGGAAGAAGUUAACAGGAAAAAAAGCAGGGAGAUAAAGAAAAAUAACCAAGCAAAUACAGGAAUUGGGAACUCAUAGGAGCACAGAGGGAGUCGCCUCUUGAAUCAGAAACGUCUGUGUUAGUAGUAAGGUCAACAGUGACUUCUGAGAAGCAUUUGCAACAUUUGUUACCGCUUCCGUCCUCUGACAUAGACACAUCAGCGUGUGGUGUUAUUUGUCUUGUCCACACGGAUCAGAAUAAUGGACAACGUGGCAGGGAAAGGCAGAAAAUACAUCAUUUAAGAAGCAGGACGGCCAGAUGUACAUGAGUGCUGGGAUUUCACAUAAAGCGCAUGGGUCAGCCCCUUCCAGUUAUUAUAAACAGCCUUGUGCUCUUUUAUGAAGACCAGAUCCUCAGUGAGGUCUGAGUGACUUAAUUUGCUCAUCUAUGAAAGUGGUUAGAGCAAACCACGGUGCUGCAGGGCAAGGGACAGGCAACUGCCUUUGGGUAAGAAGGGCUGAUGAUUGAUGGUGGGACUAGAUGAUCUUAGUGGUCCUUUCCAACCUUGAUGACUCCGUGACUCUAAGAAGGAGCUUUGUGAACAUACAGUGGGUGAAGGGCUGCUUAGGCUGUGCAAAAAAUGCUUCCUAGUCCUCCUGAAGUGGAAAAGUCUACUAAAUCAGCCUAAAUGAAUUGGAUGAAAGCUACUGCAGCCUUAAGAUUUGCUGACGAGAGAUGUUAAGGUGAGCAGGGUGGCUUUUAGUUUGCUGUAAGUCCUUCUUCAGCGCACCAAUAUGCUCUGUCCCUGCACCUCCUGGAUUUCAGCUCAUACUGAAGAGCACUGCAGGACCUGGAUUCCCCUGGAGAGGAUACCAGUGCAGCACUAAAGCCAACAUUUAAGUGAGAAGAAUGAUUCUACUGGAGAAUCUCUGACCACAGACAUGCAUGCUGCUGGCUCAUGGGUCUUGUUAUCCCUAGAUCAUGGGAUGACCAAUGCAAUAGGGCUGCAGAUCUGUUCACAGCCUCUUUGUUUUAGAAAAAUCACUUCUCUUAUUUCCGUACUUCUGAUUUCUUGCCUCUUUCUGGUUAAAUUCUCAGCUCCUCAGAGAGGUUUGCAACAGAAUCGCGAUCUCUUCUGAGGCCUCUGAACACCGUGGUAAUAUAAAUAAUAAGAAAGCAUUUAUCAAAGCAUACAAAGGAAACUCUUUGUGCUUUGAUUUAAAGAAUGUAAAAUGAGUCUUGGAAAACAUUCCUCCAAAGGAGUAGAGGAUUAAUUAACACUUGCCCAGCCCGCUGUGACCACAAGCAGUGCUAGGAACCCUGUGCACAACUGCAUUACCUGCAGGAGCAUGGGCAGGCACCAGAUCCUGCAGAACAUCUCCUUGCUUUAGCUUGGCUUGCUUUUCUACACCAAGAACACCCAAUGGAAACCAAAGGGGCACACAUGAAACUACACCUUCCCAAUUUUUUUAAAUAGGACAUAGUUUAGCUUCCAUGAGUAUUAGCAUACUUAUUGCUAAGCUUUGAUAUAUUGCUGCAUAUUUGAUUACCAACGUCUUUCAAAGACUUCAACCCAGAAAUUCCCUCCAGGAUGGCAUCUGAGUGACAUGGGGACACCUCACAGCUGCAAAGAGCAAUGUUCCCAUGUGCCAUCUGGUCAGAGCUCAUCAGUCUUCUUUGCUGAAAGAUUUCAGAGUUAAAGUUUAUCGUCUCAGCUGGUUCAAAUUGCAGAGCAUGAGAAGGAGGGAUGGUUUACCAGCUUUUAAGCCAGGAUAAUUUGUUUGCUUUUUUUUUUUUUAAUUGCAAAAAUGGUUUAAAUCCAUCAAGUCACUCUUCACAGUUACAGAGGUGCUAUAAAUCCUAAUCUGUUUGGAACUUAAUUUCUGAUUAAUUUUUUUGCCAAGCACCCUAGUAAAAAUGGAUUCAUUUAAAGCUAUAUGGAGAAAAUAUAUAUAGACUUUUACAGCAGCCAUUAUUUUUUUUUUUAGCUACAUUAAUUUUUUUGUAUGCAUGUUUGAAUCAUUAUAAUAGCAAUAAAAAGAACAGGCAAUUACAUUUCCUGUAAAGAGUCAUUAGGAAUGGAAAUUUAUAAAACCCUGCAUUUAACGUUACUACAUGAGUACAUAUAUGUGCACAUAUACAAAUGUACUUGGAAAAAAUAUGAAUACAGUGGAUAAUUAUGGCAUAUGGGAAGAGAAGGAGGCUAUUCUGGUGUCUAAAAGAGCUGUCUUCUAGCUUUAUUGGAUUGGAGGUAGAUGAUCCUUGAGGUCUCUUUCAGCUCAAGCCUUUCUAUUUAUGAAAUCCCAGCAGUGUUGAGGAGCAUCUACUAUGUGUAGAUGUGGUACUUAGGAAUGUGGUUUAGCAGGUGUUAUAGGUGGUAGGUAAUCCUAGAGAUCUUUUCCAACCUUCAUGAUUCUAUGAUUUUUGUGAUUAUGGUUCCCAAAGAAGAAAUUCAUGCUAUGCAUGAAGCACAACCGUGCAGCAGACCCUCAGGCAGGGAUCAAUGUGGGAUGUUCGGGUGAAUGAAGAGUGUGUCACUGGAAUGCAAGGAGGGAACACCCACAUGCCCAGACCCUGAGAGCUGGACGUAGGGGUUAAAACAAGGAGAGAUCAGUCACAUGUGCAACCUGCCCUCAUUUCUCAACUGAUCUUUGUAUAACACUAUGAAUGCCAGAGCUCAACAGUUAUUGUCUGCAGUCCUGGCCACUGUCUCAAAUCAGGGACAGCAAAUAAACAGUGUUGGCCUUAAAAGACUCUGUUUGUAGAGAGCUGAGUGUUUCUACGUGGUAGUAUUUGUGAAUGCACUGUGAUGAGGAGACAGUGAUCGACACAAGGUUAGAAGGCAGAAAAACAUCUCUUGGCAACCCAGGAGCAAACCCAGCCUGAUACAGGGUUUUUUAGCAUGGUGUGCUGAUGAUGGGAAAGCAGAAUCAGUGUCAUCUCUGCUCACCCCACUUCCACCUCUCCAGGGAAACUUGCUCAGGAAAAAUGGGGUACGUAUUACAAGAAGAGAAACUGUGGAGAGCAGUGGGCUCCUGUCACCUGAGAACAAACAGGAGACCUCCAGAUUUCUCUGCAUGUAGGUGGUCUGGGCUAGUUUAAAUGAAUGCAUUGGAAAUGCAAAGAAAAAGGCCAGGGGAGGAAAGCAUCACUCUCUCACUCAGCCAUUGCAGCACAAGAGGAUUAUUUAUGAACUUCUACUUUAAAAGCAUUGUCAGACCUUGAGGCCAGUUGUUGUGUUAUAAAAGGAGAAGCUCAAAAGCUGAAAGUGUGGCUUUACUUAAAUGCUCAAACUGAAGAAAUCUCCCCCCCCCCCCCCCC
Long non-coding RNA from Tympanuchus pallidicinctus (lesser prairie-chicken), 3761 nucleotides. RefSeq lists it as uncharacterized. The transcript has 2 exons. The record is from RefSeq and is a predicted model, not a curated record. NCBI's taxonomy places the organism in Eukaryota, Metazoa, Chordata, Aves, Galliformes, Phasianidae.